UUCCCACUGAUUACAAACUUCGCUGAUACCUGCCCACCCGAAAGUCUCGAGAUCGCCUGGAGUGGGGUCCGGAUUGAGGACAGGCUGACAACGGUGGGAACCAUGAUACAGAUUAUGAGAGAUGAGGGAU
RNAcentral lists this small RNA (130 nucleotides) under Caenorhabditis brenneri. RNAcentral's name for it is "snoRNA CBN33500". It matches the Rfam family "Caenorhabditis sRNA ceN56". Lineage: Eukaryota; Metazoa; Nematoda; Chromadorea; Rhabditida; Rhabditidae. The record is from Rfam by way of RNAcentral.